UUCUCGGUUGGGACUCCCACCGCCGAGUGUCAACCACAGCGAAACAAAAUUUUGGACAAGUUUCUCUACAAUAAAGAUUAUAUGCUGAAACACAGUGACAAGCUUGAAAUUUUGAUUACAGCCUUUUAGCAUACACCUCAAGGGUUUUUAAAAGCAGCAAAUACUUCAAGACUGAGUAGAGUUAUCCGCAGAAAACAUAGGAUGGAUGGACCACAGCAACACUCAGCAAUAAGAUAGCAGCAGCAUAGGACAACAAUCUAGUGAGAGGAUAAAGUAGCACAAAACAAUAGCAAGUGAUCUCCAUUUCACAAAUCAAAUAAAUGUAGCUGAUUCAUUUUGUGAUCUCAUCUUUUUCAUGCGGAUCUAUUGAUGAAUCUUAUCUUCUUUCAUUUUAAUUUGCCUUGUUUAAGAACCUAUUCUGGGAAAUGAUUGUCCUUUUCAAGACCAG
RNAcentral lists this long non-coding RNA (448 nucleotides) under Musa acuminata (dwarf banana). Its description in RNAcentral is "long non-coding RNA (MACU_LNC006961)". Lineage: Eukaryota; Viridiplantae; Streptophyta; Magnoliopsida; Zingiberales; Musaceae. The record is from RNAcentral.